Molecule: long non-coding RNA, 108 nt
Organism: Xenia sp. Carnegie-2017
Lineage: Eukaryota; Metazoa; Cnidaria; Anthozoa; Malacalcyonacea; Xeniidae
Exons: 3
Source: RefSeq, a predicted model, not a curated record
UAAAACAUAAAAGUGAGAAUUUGCUUCGAAAUACGAAUUUCUCAUUUGUCGUCGAAAGACCAAAAAUUUAAGAUAAAACAGAUAACAGGUAAUUAAAAAUUAACAUAA